CGCAUCUGUGCAUGCAGCAUAUCAAUAAGCGGAGGAAAAGAAACUAACAAGGAUUCCCCUAGUAACGGCGAGUGAAGCGGGAAGAGCUCAAAUUUGAAAUCUUAAAGGGUUUCCCUUUACGAAUUGUAGUUUAAAGAAGUGUUUUCUGUUGAGGUUUUGGUAAAAGUUCUUUGGAAUAGGACAUCAUAGAGGGUGAGAAUCCCGUAUUUGACCUUUACUUUCAACUUUGUGAUACACUUUCAAAGAGUCGGAUUGUUUGGGAAUGCAGUCCAAAAUGGGUGGUAAAUUUCAUCUAAAGCUAAAUAUUGGCGAGAGACCGAUAGCGAACAAGUACCGUGAGGGAAAGAUGAAAAGAACUUUGAAAAGAGAGUUAAACAGUACGUGAAAUUGUCAAAAGGGAAGCGUUUGACACCAGUGUUGUUUUUCUGAAAAUCAAUUAAAGAACUGUUUAUGCUAAGCUGUUUAGACUUUAUCGGCUAACUGUUUAGUUUUGAGCUUUUCUUUAAUGCACUUUUCAGUUAACAAGUCAACAUCAAUUUCUUUUGCUGUAAAAAAGCUUGAGGAAGGUGGCUUGAGAUUCGUCUUAAGUGUUUAUAGCCUCUUGCCUAUGCAGUCGGAGAGAUUGAGGUCUGCAGCGUAGAUCCUUCGGGGCUAAAUGCAUUUGUGCUAAGUUAUAGCAUUUUAUAGACGACUUGUUGACUAUGAUUUGUCUUGUAGCUUACUCGCUUAUGUUAUUUUACCUACGCUUAGGAUGUUGAGCGCAUGUCUCUCUCU
Molecule: ribosomal RNA, 774 nt
Filed under: uncultured Neocallimastigales
Lineage: Eukaryota; Fungi; Neocallimastigomycota; Neocallimastigomycetes; Neocallimastigales
Description: partial large subunit ribosomal RNA
Rfam family: Eukaryotic large subunit ribosomal RNA
Source: RNAcentral